UAGGGAAUCUUCGGCAAUGGACGAAAGUCUGACCGAGCAACGCCGCGUGAGUGAAGAAGGUUUUCGGAUCGUAAAACUCUGUUGUUAGAGAAGAACAAGGACGUUAGUAACUGAACGUCCCCUGACGGUAUCUAACCAGAAAGCCACGGCUAACUACGUGCCAGCAGCCGCGGUAAUACGUAGGUGGCAAGCGUUGUCCGGAUUUAUUGGGCGUAAAGCGAGCGCAGGCGGUUUCUUAAGUCUGAUGUGAAAGCCCCCGGCUCAACCGGGGAGGGUCAUUGGAAACUGGGAGACUUGAGUGCAGAAGAGGAGAGUGGAAUUCCAUGUGUAGCGGUGAAAAGCGUAGAUAUAUGGAGGAACACCAGUGGCGAAGGCGGCUCUCUGGUCUGUAACUGACGCUGAGGCUCGAAAGCGUAGGGAGCAAACAGG
Molecule: ribosomal RNA, 429 nt
Filed under: Chloroflexota bacterium
Lineage: Bacteria; Bacillati; Chloroflexota
Description: Chloroflexi bacterium partial 16S ribosomal RNA
Rfam family: Bacterial small subunit ribosomal RNA
Source: RNAcentral